RNAcentral lists this ribosomal RNA (1386 nucleotides) under uncultured bacterium. Its description in RNAcentral is "bacterial SSU rRNA". It matches the Rfam family "Bacterial small subunit ribosomal RNA". The record is from RNAcentral.
AUUCGCCCUUAGAGUUUGAUCCUGGCUCAGGACGAACGCUGGCGGCGUGCCUAACACAUGCAAGUCGAGCGAGUGGAGUUCUUCGGAACAAAGCUAGCGGCGGACGGGUGAGUAACACGUGGGCAACCUGCCUCAUAGAGGGGAAUAGCCUCCCGAAAGGGAGAUUAAUACCGCAUAAGAUUGUAGCUUCGCAUGAAGUAGCAAUUAAAGGAGCAAUCCGCUAUGAGAUGGGCCCGCGGCGCAUUAGCUAGUUGGUGAGGUAACGGCUCACCAAGGCGACGAUGCGUAGCCGACCUGAGAGGGUGAUCGGCCACAUUGGGACUGAGACACGGCCCAGACUCCUACGGGAGGCAGCAGUGGGGAAUAUUGCACAAUGGGGGAAACCCUGAUGCAGCAACGCCGCGUGAGUGAUGACGGCCUUCGGGUUGUAAAGCUCUGUCUUCAGGGACGAUAAUGACGGUACCUGAGGAGGAAGCCACGGCUAACUACGUGCCAGCAGCCGCGGUAAUACGUAGGUGGCGAGCGUUGUCCGGAAUUAUUGGGCGUAAAGAGCUCGUAGGCGGUUUGUCGCGUCUGCCGUGAAAGUCCGGGGCUCAACUCCGGAUCUGCGGUGGGUACGGGCAGACUAGAGUGAUGUAGGGGAGACUGGAAUUCCUGGUGUAGCGGUGAAAUGCGCAGAUAUCAGGAGGAACACCGAUGGCGAAGGCAGGUCUCUGGGCAUUAACUGACGCUGAGGAGCGAAAGCAUGGGGAGCGAACAGGAUUAGAUACCCUGGUAGUCCAUGCCGUAAACGUUGGGCACUAGGUGUGGGGGACAUUCCACGUUUUCCGCGCCGUAGCUAACGCAUUAAGUGCCCCGCCUGGGGAGUACGGCCGCAAGGCUAAAACUCAAAGGAAUUGACGGGGGCCCGCACAAGCGGCGGAGCAUGCGGAUUAAUUCGAUGCAACGCGAAGAACCUUACCAAGGCUUGACAUGAACUGGAAAUACCUAGAAAUAGGUGCCCCGCUUGCGGUCGGUUUACAGGUGGUGCAUGGUUGUCGUCAGCUCGUGUCGUGAGAUGUUGGGUUAAGUCCCGCAACGAGCGCAACCCUCGUUCUAUGUUGCCAGCACGUUAUGGUGGGGACUCAUAGGAGACUGCCGGGGUCAACUCGGAGGAAGGUGAGGACGACGUCAAAUCAUUAUGCCCCUUAUGUCUUGGGCUUCACGCAUGCUACAGUGGCCGGUACAAUGGGUUGCGAUACUGUGAGGUGGAGCUAAUCCCAAAAAGCCGGUCUCAGUUCGGAUUGGGGUCUGCAACUCGACCCCAUGAAGUCGGAGUCGCUAGUAAUCGCAGAUCAGCAACGCUGCGGUGAAUACGUUCCCGGGCCUUGCACACACCGCCCGUCA